Molecule: transfer RNA, 94 nt
Filed under: Streptomyces omiyaensis
Lineage: Bacteria; Bacillati; Actinomycetota; Actinomycetes; Kitasatosporales; Streptomycetaceae
Description: tRNA-Trp
Source: RNAcentral
GCCGGUCUUGAGCUCGAAGGCGAGCCGGCCGCUCUCCAGCAGCGGCAGCGCGGCCGGAUCGCUGUAGACGAGGUUCCACACCUCGGCGUCGGCG